This is a non-coding RNA of Xenopus tropicalis (tropical clawed frog), 73 nucleotides long. Lineage: Eukaryota; Metazoa; Chordata; Amphibia; Anura; Pipidae. The record is from Rfam.
UGGCUGUGCAUUAUUACUUUUGGUACGCGCUGUGUCACAUCAAACUCGUACCGUGAGUAAUAAUGCGCAGCUG